CGAAAAAAAGAACAAAAAAAAAAAAAAAAAAAGAGUAGAUACAGAGGGCUGGAGAGAUGGCUCAGUGGGUAAGAGCAUUUGUUACACGAGCAUGACCUGAGUCUGGAUUCUAACGUUCACAUAAAAUAUUGGCCGUGACAACAUAUACCUAUAAAUGCAAGCCUGGGCAUGGGGGUGGAGGCAGGAAGAUUGCUGGGACAUACUGGUUGUGUGCACAUACAGACACAAACCACACGUACGUACCAAACCACCACCACCCCACCACACCACACGCACACACGGGUGGGGCGGAGGCAACGGUUGUGGCUGUGGCGGUACUGCGUGCCCCGGUUGCUGGAUCUGAGAGGUACUGACAGAAGAGCUCUGGAAAAUAGACAACCUGUCCAGAACCUACACCACAUGCUAUGGACCUGCGACAUGUGGACACCACGUCCUGUGGACACUGGAGUCGUUCAUUUCCAUGGAAACUUGUAGGUUACUUUACAAGAGAUUGAAUGCCUACCAGCUACCAAGCUUAACCACGAGGCCUCAUAAUGAAGUGGACUUCAUGUUGUGAGCUCUAAGACCCAGAAGACCACAUGUCAGUAAUUAUAAUAUCAUACACCAAUGAACUUAAGGAGCCAUUGAUUCUAUUAAGUAAUUUUAUGUCAAGCUAAAAAGGGAAAAUGGGGCCGGGCUCAACAACUGAGAGUACAUACUGUUCUUGCAGAGGAUCUGAGCUGGGUUCCCAACACCCAUAUGGGUUGAGUCAAACCACCUGUAACUACAGCGUCAGAAGGUCCAUCCCCCUUUCUGGACUCUGCCAGCACCUGGGCUCAAAUAUACAUACGUGCUCAUGCAUGUCCGUGAACAUACACACACAUUAAAAAUAUUAAAAUGCGUGUUUUGUUUAUUUGGUUUCCUGAGACAGGGUUUCUGUGUGUAGCCCUGGCUGUUCUGGAACUUGAUCUGUAGUCUGGCCUCCACUCACAGAGAUCCUCCUGCCUCUGCCUCCUGAGUGCAGGGAUCGAAGGCAUGUGCCGCCACCAUCAGGCUAAAAUAAAAAAUUUAAAAGGAAAAUUCUGGCAAUUAAGUCAUCCAUACAGGACUAUAGGCCCAAUAUUGAAGGUGAAUUAGAGGAUGGAUUGAACCCAGGACUUUGAAGCCAGUCUGUGCAACAUAGUAUAAAGCCCUCUCUUACACAUAGAAACCAAAAUCCAAAAUCCAACCAAACCAAACAGUAACAAACACGUGGUAUCUAUGGUCACAAGCAUCCCGAUCUCAGGAGCUAAGAUAGAACAGCAAUGAAAGUAACCAUUAAAUUAUGAUCUAUUCUCUAUAUGUGGUUUUAUUUAAGUUCUUGCCAAAACUUUUCACUCGUAUGCACCGAGUGCAGGUACUCUGUAGACAUCAGGGCUACCAGGGUCUAACCUGUGCCUUGGAGGAGCUCUGGUCUGCCCGUGAUGCUCUGUCCCAGGGAAGGUUAGCAAACAGAGUAGGACAAUGUGUGGAUGAUGGAGUAAAGAUAGCCCAAGGACCAAUAUGUAGGCGUGGAGAUUAAGAAGGGGUUUGGGUACCAGGGCUUUACUGAGGAAGUGCUGUUCAGAGGUUGCAGCUACAGCCCACAGGCAGCCCCUGAAGCACAGACAGCUACACCACAAUCAGUCCCACCGGCAGCUCCUCUGGUGGGGACAGCGGUGACCUUUUAACCAUCAGCAAAGUUGCCAACCUGGUAAAAGGAACCCUGGAGAACUCCAACCCUAUGUAUGCAUGAGCUUCCCUUGCUGGGGGAAUAAAGGAAGGCAUCCUGAAAGUGCUAUAAACUGUGAUCUGCUUGGGAGACCCGGACAUGGGUUACCUGCCACCUGCCGCUGAAGAGAAGCGGGAGUGAGGUGGAGACAUCUUGGGGAACCUCAGGUUGUCUGUCUGUGGGGACAGGCUGGGAUGUUGGAUGGUCCCAGGAUCCUGAGUGUGCUAAUUGAUCUGGUUCACAGCCUCAGCUUUCUGCCGUAGGUGAUAGGAACUACUAAGGAAUCUGAUGGUUUGUGGGUCAUACAAUGUGAAUAGCCAGGAGCAAAGAGACCAGUUAGGAGGUGAGGAGAGGACAGCCUCCUCAAAUCAAAGACCUGGUGUGGGCCAGCCAUUUAAAACUCUCUUGUCUUCACUUUGCAGAGGAGCAAAUAGAAUGUUUAAGUAACCUGCUCAAAUCAAGGGCAUCCGGCUAGUUAGUGUGAGCCAGGAUUUGGAACUAGACCUGAG
Long non-coding RNA from Rattus norvegicus (Norway rat), 2238 nucleotides. The record is from Ensembl. NCBI's taxonomy places the organism in Eukaryota, Metazoa, Chordata, Mammalia, Rodentia, Muridae.